CUCGAUGUCGGCUCAUCGCAUCCUGGGGCUGUAGUCGGUCCCAAGGGUUGGGCUGUUCGCCCAUUAAAGCGGUACGCGAGCUGGGUUCAGAACGUCGUGAGACAGUUCGGUCCCUAUCCGUCGUGGGCGUAGGAAAUUUGAGAGGAGCUGUCCUUAGUACGAGAGGACCGGGAUGGACAUACCUCUGGUGUACCAGUUGUCGUGCCAACGGCAUAGCUGGGUAGCUAUGUAUGGACGGGAUAAGUGCUGAAAGCAUCUAAGCAUGAAGCCCCCCUCAAGAUGAGAUUUCCCAACUUCGGUUAUAAGAUCCCUCAAAGAUGAUGAGGUUAAUAGGUUCGAGGUGGAAGCGUAGCGAUACGUGGAGCUGACGAAUACUAAUCGAUCGAAGACUUAAUCAAUU
Molecule: ribosomal RNA, 400 nt
Filed under: Staphylococcus agnetis
Lineage: Bacteria; Bacillati; Bacillota; Bacilli; Caryophanales; Staphylococcaceae
Description: partial 23S ribosomal RNA
Rfam family: Bacterial large subunit ribosomal RNA
Source: RNAcentral